This 203-nucleotide long non-coding RNA is filed under the name Hordeum vulgare. RNAcentral describes it as "long non-coding RNA (HVUL_LNC009662)". The record is from RNAcentral. Lineage: Eukaryota; Viridiplantae; Streptophyta; Magnoliopsida; Poales; Poaceae.
UCUAGAGGGGAGGUGAUCAGACUACUUGACAAGAUAAAAACUUAGCCUUUUCCCAAUUUUAACUGUGAGCCAGUUUUAACAAUUAUGACUAGUCAAGUACACCCUACACAUGCAUAUCUAAGAGUAUAACAGCGGAAAGUAAGACAUGCAAAUGUAAAGUAAAGGGUAAGGUACGGGAGGUCAAAUGUAACAUCCCAAAUUUC